Molecule: ribosomal RNA, 393 nt
Filed under: uncultured eukaryote
Lineage: Eukaryota
Description: SSU rRNA
Rfam family: Eukaryotic small subunit ribosomal RNA
Source: RNAcentral
CAAUAGCCUAUAUUAAAGUUGUUGCGGUUAAAAGCUCGUAGUUUGAUUUCUGCUGAGGACGAUCGGUCCGCCCUCUGGGUGAGUAUCUGGCUCGGCCUUGGCAUCUUCUUGGAGAACGUUGCUGCACUUGACUGUGUGGCGCGGUAUCCAGGACUUUUACUUUGAGGAAAUUAGAGUGUUUCAAGCAGGCGCACGCCUUGAAUACAUUAGCAUGGAAUAAUAAGAUAGGACCUCGGUUCUAUUUUGUUGGUAUCUAGAGCUGAGGUAAUGAUUAAUAGGGAUAGUUGGGGGCGAUUCGUGAUUUUAAUGUCAGAGGCGAAAUUCUUGGAUUUGUUAAAGACGGACUACUGCGAAAGCAUUUGCCAAGGAUGUUUCCAUUGAUCAAGAACGAGA